UACGUAGGGGGCAAGCGUUAUCCGGAUUUACUGGGUGUAAAGGGAGCGUAGGUGGUUCGGCAAGUCAGAUGUGAAAGCCCGGGGCUCAACCCCGGGACUGCAUUUGAAACUGCCGGGCUAGAGUGCAGGAGAGGUAAGUGGAAUUCCUAGUGUAGCGGUGAAAUGCGUAGAUAUUAGGAGGAACACCAGUGGCGAAGGCGGCUUACUGGACUGUAACUGACACUGAGGCUCGAAAGCGUGGGGAGCAAACAGG
Molecule: ribosomal RNA, 253 nt
Filed under: bacterium
Lineage: Bacteria
Also listed under: 1 other name
Description: partial 16S ribosomal RNA
Rfam family: Bacterial small subunit ribosomal RNA
Source: RNAcentral